GGGUCAGUAGGUUGGUCGUGCCACCGGUACGUACUGGUCUCGCUGAUUCCUCCUUCCUGAAGAACCGUAAUGCCAUUAAUUUGGUGUUGCGGGGAAACAGGACUGUUACUUUGAAAAAAUUAGAGUGUUUAAAGCAAGCUAACGCUUGAAUACAUUAGCAUGGAGUAAUGAAAUAGGACGAUCGAUCCUAUUUUGUUGGUUUCUAGGAUUGACGUA
Molecule: ribosomal RNA, 216 nt
Filed under: Glomeromycotina sp.
Lineage: Eukaryota; Fungi; Glomeromycota
Description: partial small subunit ribosomal RNA
Rfam family: Eukaryotic small subunit ribosomal RNA (bases 44-216)
Source: RNAcentral